Rothia dentocariosa ATCC 17931 is the source of this 103-nucleotide non-coding RNA. The record is from Rfam. Lineage: Bacteria; Bacillati; Actinomycetota; Actinomycetes; Micrococcales; Micrococcaceae.
GCAACACGACAGGGGAGCGCCGCAGACGGGCGCUGAGAGUGCAACGCAGACCCUCGAACCUGAUCCGGUUAGUACCGGCGUAGGGAGUCGAAAUAUGUUUUCU